RNAcentral lists this ribosomal RNA (387 nucleotides) under uncultured bacterium. RNAcentral's name for it is "bacterial SSU rRNA". It matches the Rfam family "Bacterial small subunit ribosomal RNA", at positions 29 to 417 of the family's 1533-position model. The record is from RNAcentral.
AUUGAACGCUGGCGGCAUGCCUUACACAUGCAAGUCGAACGGCAGCACGGGGGCAACCCUGGUGGCGAGUGGCGAACGGGUGAGUAAUACAUCGGAACGUGCCCAGUAGUGGGGGAUAGCCCGGCGAAAGCCGGAUUAAUACCGCAUACGACCUACGGGUGAAAGCGGGGGAUCGCAAGACCUCGUGCUACCGGAGCGGCCGAUGUCAGAUUAGGUUGUUGGUGGGGUAAAAGCCUACCAAGCCGACGAUCUGUAGCUGGUCUGAGAGGACGACCAGCCACACUGGGACUGAGACACGGCCCAGACUCCUACGGGAGGCAGCAGUGGGGAAUUUUGGACAAUGGGCGCAAGCCUGAUCCAGCCAUGCCGCGUGCGGGAAGAAGGCCU